Molecule: ribosomal RNA, 949 nt
Filed under: Mycobacterium sp. S060
Lineage: Bacteria; Bacillati; Actinomycetota; Actinomycetes; Mycobacteriales; Mycobacteriaceae
Description: bacterial SSU rRNA
Rfam family: Bacterial small subunit ribosomal RNA
Source: RNAcentral
CGAACGCUGGCGGCGUGCUUAACACAUGCAAGUCGAACGGUAAGGCCCUUCGGGGUACACGAGUGGCGAACGGGUGAGUAACACGUGGGUGAUCUGCCCUGCACUUUGGGAUAAGCCUGGGAAACUGGGUCUAAUACCGAAUACACCCUGCUGGCCGCAUGGUCUGGUGGGGGAAAGCUUUUGCGGUGUGGGAUGGGCCCGCGGCCUAUCAGCUUGUUGGUGGGGUGAUGGCCUACCAAGGCGACGACGGGUAGCCGGCCUGAGAGGGUGUCCGGCCACACUGGGACUGAGAUACGGCCCAGACUCCUACGGGAGGCAGCAGUGGGGAAUAUUGCACAAUGGGCGCAAGCCUGAUGCAGCGACGCCGCGUGAGGGAUGACGGCCUUCGGGUUGUAAACCUCUUUCACCAGGGACGAAGCGCAAGUGACGGUACCUGGAGAAGAAGCACCGGCCAACUACGUGCCAGCAGCCGCGGUAAUACGUAGGGUGCGAGCGUUGUCCGGAAUUACUGGGCGUAAAGAGCUCGUAGGUGGUUUGUCGCGUUGUUCGUGAAAUCUCACGGCUUAACUGUGAGCGUGCGGGCGAUACGGGCAGACUGGAGUACUGCAGGGGAGACUGGAAUUCCUGGUGUAGCGGUGGAAUGCGCAGAUAUCAGGAGGAACACCGGUGGCGAAGGCGGGUCUCUGGGCAGUAACUGACGCUGAGGAGCGAAAGCGUGGGGAGCGAACAGGAUUAGAUACCCUGGUAGUCCACGCCGUAAACGGUGGGUACUAGGUGUGGGUUUCCUUCCUUGGGAUCCGUGCCGUAGCUAACGCAUUAAGUACCCCGCCUGGGGAGUACGGCCGCAAGGCUAAAACUCAAAGAAAUUGACGGGGGCCCGCACAANCGGCGGAGCAUGNGAUUAAUUCGAUGGAANGCGAAGUACAAACCCGGGUUUACAUGCAAGGAC